AUAUUGCACAAUGGAGGAAACUCUGAUGCAGCGACGCCGCGUGAGCGGUGAAGCCUUUCGAGCCGUAAAGCUCUGUCCUAGGGGACGAUAAUGACGGUACCCUAUGCGGCAUCCCCGGCUAACUACGCUCCAGCAGGCGAGGUAAUACGUAGGGGGCGAGCGUUGUCCGGAAUUAUUGGGCGUAAAGGGUUCGCAGGCGGCCUUUUAAGUCAGAUGUGAAAGCCCACGGCUUAACCGUGGUAAGCAUUUGAAACUGGAAGGCUUGAGUUAAGGAGAGGAAAGUGGAAUUCCUAGUGUAGCGGUGAAAUGCGUAGAUAUUAGGAGGAAUACCAGUGGCGAAGGCGACUUUCUGGACUUAUACUGACGCUGAGGAACGAAAGCGUGGGGAGCAAACA
Molecule: ribosomal RNA, 395 nt
Filed under: uncultured bacterium
Lineage: Bacteria
Description: partial 16S ribosomal RNA
Rfam family: Bacterial small subunit ribosomal RNA
Source: RNAcentral